UCUCCUACGGGACGCAGCAGUAGGGAAUAUUGCUCAAUGGGGGAAACCCUGAAGCAGCAACGCCGCGUGGAGGAUGAAGGUUUUAGGAUUGUAAACUCCUUUUGUGAGAGAAGAUUAUGACGGUAUCUCACGAAUAAGCACCGGCUAACUCCGUGCCAGCAGCCGCGGUAAUACGGAGGGUGCAAGCGUUACUCGGAAUCACUGGGCGUAAAGAGUGCGCAGGCGGGUAGUCAAGUCAGAUGUGAAAUCCUAUAGCUUAACUAUAGAACUGCAUUUGAAACUGAUUAUCUAGAGUGUGGGGGAGG
Molecule: ribosomal RNA, 305 nt
Filed under: uncultured bacterium
Lineage: Bacteria
Description: bacterial SSU rRNA
Rfam family: Bacterial small subunit ribosomal RNA
Source: RNAcentral